GCGGGGCCGUCAGCGGGACCGUCGGCACGGCAGGAUGCUUCCUGGGGCUGCUGGCAUUCGUGCCGCCCGGCGCCGCCGUCCUCGGGUUGAUCUGGUGGGCAGCCCGGCUCCGCCGAAGGCCGGCCCGCGCUGCGCUGAGACGGGGCCCGGAGCCCGAGUGCGAGUACGCAGCGGUGGGGCGCUGAGAAGCCCUUUCCCCACGCCCCCUCUGCCAGAACCCGCUCCCGCCUGCCGUCUCCAAAGCAGCUGAAAAAAGAGAGGAAAGGGAAAGUUGUGGGAUCCUGCGCCCUGCGGCGAUGGGGACUGG
Oxyura jamaicensis (ruddy duck) is the source of this 307-nucleotide long non-coding RNA. RefSeq lists it as uncharacterized. The record is from RefSeq and is a predicted model, not a curated record. Lineage: Eukaryota; Metazoa; Chordata; Aves; Anseriformes; Anatidae. The transcript has 3 exons.